RNAcentral lists this long non-coding RNA (887 nucleotides) under Prunus persica (peach). RNAcentral describes it as "long non-coding RNA (PPER_LNC000835)". Lineage: Eukaryota; Viridiplantae; Streptophyta; Magnoliopsida; Rosales; Rosaceae. The record is from RNAcentral.
GACGAGUUUGAUAGGAAGUUCUUCUUGAGCAGAUCAGACACGCAUGCAUCCCUUGCAAGGGUGGACUUGUUCACCUUAGGAUCAACCGCCGAUGUUGAAGAAGAACCCUUAGCCUGGGCAGACGACUUCAUCAUCUUCUUAGCCUUCGCGAACCUCAUCUCCAAAGGAGUCAAUGAUAUUGAAUCAACUCUAGGCUUGAUUGCCCGUGACUCAACAACUGGAUCAUGAGCAGAUCUCCCGCUUCGAUCUCCAUCUUUUGACUGAUGCAGACGACUCAAACUUUGAGGAGGAAUGUCUGCAUCUCUUUUACGCUUAGUAGAACUGGGUCAGGCACGAGCUGCCUCGCAAAGCAUAUCGUGGUUUUCAACCAUGUCAGCAGAAGGCUCGGGCAGAACACCUUGAGCACCGUGCAUACAACCAAUCUUCGUGCUAUAUGCACCCAUAAGUUGUUUGACCCUGGCAAAUGAUGAUGGAGUAAACCCCACUUGAGUUUUCUCAGCAGAAGGGAGCCUUGGCUUCUUCCGAGAUGAAGACCCAUUCUUUGCGUGGGAAGAAGUAGCUUCACCUCUUGAAGAUUUGGCAGCAGCCUUUCUUUUUAAGAGAGAUUCAGCAGAACACUCUUCCUAUCCGGCAAGCAGAUCAUCAGGGUCAGGACCGUUCUACUUCCACCUUUCAACAUCCUCCGCCUCUCCUAGCACGAGCCCACUUUGCGCACUAGGCCUAGCCUCUAGACCUCCACUUCAAGCCCAGCGCAUGCACAGCCCGAUCCGGCCAACCCUCCAGAGCUCCAGCAAUGCAUGCAGGCCCUAGCUUGCCUAGCAACGAAGUUGCGCAGCCCUUCCAAGCCUCCAGUCAUACCCAGGCCAAUUGCACAGGGCACAAACCAA